GCCUUCGUGGAGUAACAGGAAGCAUACUCGACUAAUAUUUGAGAGAUUUAGGGUUCAAGUCCCAGCGAGGGCG
This 73-nucleotide transfer RNA is filed under the name Stegodyphus mimosarum. It matches the Rfam family "tRNA". From Rfam's summary of the family: Transfer RNA (tRNA) molecules are approximately 80 nucleotides in length. Their secondary structure includes four short double-helical elements and three loops (D, anti-codon, and T loops). The record is from Rfam by way of RNAcentral. Lineage: Eukaryota; Metazoa; Arthropoda; Arachnida; Araneae; Eresidae.